Molecule: long non-coding RNA, 1331 nt
Organism: Pieris rapae (cabbage white)
Lineage: Eukaryota; Metazoa; Arthropoda; Insecta; Lepidoptera; Pieridae
Exons: 2
Source: RefSeq, a predicted model, not a curated record
UGGGCGAUUCCGCUAUAGACGAUUUUUGACAUGAAUUUCUAAAUCACGCUAUUUGUUACUUUUUUUUAUAUCGGUACAAAGAAAAAGGUAUAAAUUUAUUAAAACAUUUUUUAUUUUUUAUUUUACUUCAUAUUUAAAUUUUUGGCGCGCUUGGAAACAUUAUCAUUCGAAGAAUUGGCUGAAUCUGCAAAAUCACAACGUGGCAACACUGGCACGAAAGAGCUGUUACCGACAGUUUCAGUUUAUGUUCUACCGGCUAAAUGUGUAGUGAAAAUAUUGUUUUAUUCUUAUGUGCAAAAAAAUAUUUGGCACGCAGUCUGUCUAAAAACAUCUUCUUUAUAUUCGUAGCAAAAGAAGAAGUUAAAGAAAAGAUGGCCAUGUUGGAUGCUAAAUGAGAAGGACUGAAAAAUAUACCAGGCAUUCAAUAAAAACAUUUCUUCCAACCUGAAGUUGGGAAUGAUAGUAUUUCCGUGGCGCAAACUUCACUGUCUCAUCUCAUAUGCAGACUAGUUUUGAAAUCUCCGAAAACCACUACUGAAACAAAAAGUGAUUGGGAUGACGAUGACUUGGAACCUCUUACAAAUAAAAUACAAGAAGGAAAUCUCUGUCCUUCAGUAUCAGAUCAGAGUAAAUCUUUUGUCCCACUUAAAACAAAAUUGCGCAUUUCAGAUGUUUUCAGACGACGAAUAUCCUCUUCAACCCUCAAAAAUACUCGCAGAAGCAUGCCCUGAAACUGGUUCUGCCUGUGCUGAUGUCUUACCAAGAGAUAUUAGCGCUGGUUUUUACGUGCUCGUGUAAUUGCUCUGUAAGUCUGGCAAAAAAGUACUCAAUACCGCUAUGUAGGGGUGUGUCAGAGCGAUAUGGACGAAGAUGGAGAGGUUAGAGUACAAUUCCUGACGACGGUUGAUGGCAAGCAUUUCACUGAAAUUGUUAAUGACAAAGCAGACGUACGAUUUUAAGAUAUUAUCGCGAAGUUGGAAGCGCCAAAGAAAAAGAUUGACGGAAAAAAUACGUUUGUAGAAUUUUCGGCGAAUAUAGACGUAUUUGAAAAGAAAUAAAUAAUAUAAGUGACAAAGAAGUGUUCUGAUUAGUAAUAAACAUUGAUUGAUAUCUUAUUUUAUUCCUGUAAAAGUUUUAUUGAUGUUUGUAUUCACUUAAAUUAGACGGGUUGCACCCGCGAUAAUUUGAUGUUGCACCCGCGAUUGCUUUAAAAGUGAAUAAUUCUGUGUUUAUUUUUGUUUCCUAUAAAAAAAUAUAUUUGUUUACUUGGUUAGUUUAACGCCUUACGAAAUACGAAGGCAUAACAUAAUAAAAGUUUCACAAUUAACAGA